GCCAGAUAAGGGAAGCAGGCCUCCGAAGCCAGCAGUGGCAACCCACUUGGGUCCCUUUCAAUGCUGUGGAAGCGUUGUUCUUUCACUCUUCUCAAUAAAUCUUGCUGCUGCUCACUCUUUGGGUCUGCCCCGCUGUUAUGAGCUGUAACACUCACAGCCAGUGUCUGCAGUUUCACUCCUGAAGCCAGCAAGACCACAAACCCACAGGGCGGGACAAACAACUCCGGACAGGAGGAAUGAACAACUCUGGACGCGCCACUUCUAUGAACUUUUAUGAACUGUAACACUCACCGCAAAGGUCUGCAGCUUCACCCCUGAGGCCAGGGAGACCACGAACCCACCGGAAGGAAUGAACAACUCCAGACGCACUGCCUUUAAGAGCUGUAACACUUACCACGGAUGUCUGCAGCUUCACUCCUGAAGUCAGCGAGACCACAAACCCAACAGAAGGAAGAAACUCCCGACACAUCUGAACAUCUGAAGGAACAAACUCUGGACACACCAUCUUUAAGAACUGUAACACUCACCGUGAGGGUCAACCGCUUCAUUCUUGAAGUCAGCCAGACCAAGAACCCACCAAUUCCGUCUAUCUGAAUCAUGUUAUUGGACCAUGAGAGCAAGCAGCUGGAUCUCAUUCUGUCCAGGACUCCUGGAAACAGCAGCUCUAACAAAAUUGUCUUCAAUAAAUAAGUUUUUUUGCAUCACAUUUGUGUAUGUCCUGAAUGUUCUGAGCCCUUCAGAUUUGACUCAUAUUCAUGCUAAAAGAAAAAAUGCAAAUGAAAAUUGUAUAGCUAAUUAUGAGAAAAAUAAAGCAUCAUAAGAAAACCA
Molecule: long non-coding RNA, 828 nt
Filed under: Homo sapiens (human)
Lineage: Eukaryota; Metazoa; Chordata; Mammalia; Primates; Hominidae
Description: long independently transcribed non-coding RNA 2377, transcript variant 24 (LINC02377)
Source: RNAcentral